AAUGGGUCAGCGACUUAUAUUCUGUAGCAAGGUUAACCGAAUAGGGGAGCCGAAGGGAAACCGAGUCUUAACUGGGCGUUAAGUUGCAGGGUAUAGACCCGAAACCCGGUGAUCUAGCCAUGGGCAGGUUGAAGGUUGGGUAACACUAACUGGAGGACCGAACCGACUAAUGUUGAAAAAUUAGCGGAUGACUUGUGGCUGGGGGUGAAAGGCCAAUCAAACCGGGAGAUAGCUGGUUCUCCCCGAAAGCUAUUUAGGUAGCGCCUCGUGAAUUCAUCUCCGGGGGUAGAGCACUGUUUCGGCAAGGGGGUCAUCCCGACUUACCAACCCGAUGCAAACUGCGAAUACCGGAGAAUGUUAUCACGGGAGACACACGGCGGGUGCUAACGUCCGUCGUGAAGAGGGAAACAACCCAGACCGCCAGCUAAGGUCCCAAAGUCAUGGUUAAGUGGGAAACGAUGUGGGAAGGCCCAGACAGCCAGGAUGUUGGCUUAGAAGCAGCCAUCAUUUAAAGAAAGCGUAAUAGCUCACUGGUCGAGUCGGCCUGCGCGGAAGAUGUAACGGGGCUAAACCAUGCACCGAAGCUGCGGCAGCGACACUAUGUGUUGUUGGG
Molecule: ribosomal RNA, 613 nt
Filed under: Escherichia coli
Lineage: Bacteria; Pseudomonadati; Pseudomonadota; Gammaproteobacteria; Enterobacterales; Enterobacteriaceae
Description: partial 23S ribosomal RNA
Rfam family: Bacterial large subunit ribosomal RNA
Source: RNAcentral